GGAGGAAGGUGGGGAUGACGUCAAGUCCUCAUGGCCCUUACNGGCUGGGCUACACACGUGCUACAAUGGCAUCUACAGUGAGCAGCGAUCCCGCGAGGGUUAGCUAAUCUCCAAAAGAUGUCUCAGUUCGGAUUGUUCUCUGCAACUCGAGAGCAUGAAGGCGGAAUCGCUAGUAAUCGCGGAUCAGCAUGCCGCGGUGAAUACAUUCCCAGGCCUUGUACACACCGCCCGU
RNAcentral lists this ribosomal RNA (232 nucleotides) under Erythrobacter sp. Its description in RNAcentral is "partial 16S ribosomal RNA". It matches the Rfam family "Bacterial small subunit ribosomal RNA", at positions 1165 to 1397 of the family's 1533-position model. The record is from RNAcentral. Lineage: Bacteria; Pseudomonadati; Pseudomonadota; Alphaproteobacteria; Sphingomonadales; Erythrobacteraceae.